This 1489-nucleotide ribosomal RNA is filed under the name Lactiplantibacillus argentoratensis. RNAcentral's name for it is "bacterial SSU rRNA". It matches the Rfam family "Bacterial small subunit ribosomal RNA". The record is from RNAcentral. Lineage: Bacteria; Bacillati; Bacillota; Bacilli; Lactobacillales; Lactobacillaceae.
GACGAACGCUGGCGGCGUGCCUAAUACAUGCAAGUCGAACGAACUCUGGUAUUGAUUGGUGCUUGCAUCAUGAUUUACAUUUGAGUGAGUGGCGAACUGGUGAGUAACACGUGGGAAACCUGCCCAGAAGCGGGGGAUAACACCUGGAAACAGAUGCUAAUACCGCAUAACAACUUGGACCGCAUGGUCCGAGCUUGAAAGAUGGCUUCGGCUAUCACUUUUGGAUGGUCCCGCGGCGUAUUAGCUAGAUGGUGGGGUAACGGCUCACCAUGGCAAUGAUACGUAGCCGACCUGAGAGGGUAAUCGGCCACAUUGGGACUGAGACACGGCCCAAACUCCUACGGGAGGCAGCAGUAGGGAAUCUUCCACAAUGGACGAAAGUCUGAUGGAGCAACGCCGCGUGAGUGAAGAAGGGUUUCGGCUCGUAAAACUCUGUUGUUAAAGAAGAACAUAUCUGAGAGUAACUGUUCAGGUAUUGACGGUAUUUAACCAGAAAGCCACGGCUAACUACGUGCCAGCAGCCGCGGUAAUACGUAGGUGGCAAGCGUUGUCCGGAUUUAUUGGGCGUAAAGCGAGCGCAGGCGGUUUUUUAAGUCUGAUGUGAAAGCCUUCGGCUCAACCGAAGAAGUGCAUCGGAAACUGGGAAACUUGAGUGCAGAAGAGGACAGUGGAACUCCAUGUGUAGCGGUGAAAUGCGUAGAUAUAUGGAAGAACACCAGUGGCGAAGGCGGCUGUCUGGUCUGUAACUGACGCUGAGGCUCGAAAGUAUGGGUAGCAAACAGGAUUAGAUACCCUGGUAGUCCAUACCGUAAACGAUGAAUGCUAAGUGUUGGAGGGUUUCCGCCCUUCAGUGCUGCAGCUAACGCAUUAAGCAUUCCGCCUGGGGAGUACGGCCGCAAGGCUGAAACUCAAAGGAAUUGACGGGGGCCCGCACAAGCGGUGGAGCAUGUGGUUUAGUUCGAAGCUACGCGAAGAACCUUACCAGGUCUUGACAUACUAUGCAAAUCUAAGAGAUUAGACGUUCCCUUCGGGGACAUGGAUACAGGUGGUGCAUGGUUGUCGUCAGCUCGUGUCGUGAGAUGUUGGGUUAAGUCCCGCAACGAGCGCAACCCUUAUUAUCAGUUGCCAGCAUUAAGUUGGGCACUCUGGUGAGACUGCCGGUGACAAACCGGAGGAAGGUGGGGAUGACGUCAAAUCAUCAUGCCCCUUAUGACCUGGGCUACACACGUGCUACAAUGGAUGGUACAACGAGUUGCGAACUCGCGAGAGUAAGCUAAUCUCUUAAAGCCAUUCUCAGUUCGGAUUGUAGGCUGCAACUCGCCUACAUGAAGUCGGAAUCGCUAGUAAUCGCGGAUCAGUAUGCCGCGGUGAAUACGUUCCCGGGCCUUGUACACACCGCCCGUCACACCAUGAGAGUUUGUAACACCCAAAGUCGGUGGGGUAACCUUUUAGGAACCAGCCGCCUAAGGUGGGACAGAUGAUUAGGGUG